CCUAACAAGAUUAACAAGUGAAAAUGAUGUUUUUUCUUGCAUUCAAUGCAAAUUAGUGUAUCCGUCGAAGACGUAAAAGGUUAACGUGGAUGAAUCAUGUCCCUGAAAUUAUUUACAAUCAAUUGAUAAGAAAUUCAAAAAAUUGUUUUUUCUUUCAAUUUUAUCCUUAAAAUUUCGUAGUCGAACAAGAAGUUGAAACUGAAAUUUGGAACAAUACAAAUUAUAAUUUUUUGAUAAUAGCAAUUCAAAUUAUGGCUCGAUUGUCCAAUUUAUACCUCUUCAUUUACAAUUUUCUUCAAACCAUUGGCUGGGCAAUUGCAUUCUGGCGAAUUUUAAUAGAUCUCAGUACCACUCAUUCCUUCAAUGCCGCAUUUGCCUCUUCUGGGCAACUUAUUUGUUUAUUGCAGAAAACUGCUUUCUUGGAAGUUAUACAUGGUGCUUUAGGUAUUGUUCCAAGUGGAGUGUUGUUACCUCUUAUGCAAUGGGGAGGAAGAACUCACUAUCUUCUAGCUCUUGUUGGGAACAUUGUUGAGGUACAAGAGUCUCAAUCCAUUUUUGUAACUUUUGCUGCUUGGAGCAUCAGUGAAGUAAUUAGGUACUCAAACUACGCUUUAAGCUGUAUUGGAAAAUGCCCAUAUUGGUCGACCUACAUCAGGUACACUCUUUUCAUCCCAGUGUAUCCUGUUGGAGUUGCUGGUGAAAUGUGGCUUAUGUACCAAGCUCUUCCAUAUAUAAAGGAAAAGGACCUUUACAGAAAUUUUUUCGCUGCCCUUCAUUUCAGCUAUCUUACCUUUGUCAAGGUGGCUCUUGUCUGCUAUCCUUUUCUUUGGUUGAAGCUUUACCUGCAUUUACUGAAACAAAGACGAUCCAAGCUGCGUAAACCUCGUCAAACGAAGAAAGAGUAGUCAUUCAAUGUUGUCCCUUCGGUCUCACAGUGGAUUAAUGUGCUGUUUACAUUCUUUAGGAAGCUCCUCGUAGUUGUCUGGCUGAAUGAAGACGAUGUGGUAGAGGAGAGCAGCAAUUGAAGCACCGAUGAAUGGGCCGAGCCAGUAGACCCAGUGGUUGUCCCAUGUCCAGCUGACAACAGCAGGACCAAAGGAU
RNA transcript from Amaranthus tricolor (Joseph's coat), 1101 nucleotides. RefSeq lists it as uncharacterized. The transcript is spliced from 10 exons. Lineage: Eukaryota; Viridiplantae; Streptophyta; Magnoliopsida; Caryophyllales; Amaranthaceae. The record is from RefSeq and is a predicted model, not a curated record.